This 470-nucleotide ribosomal RNA is filed under the name uncultured organism. RNAcentral's name for it is "partial 16S ribosomal RNA". It matches the Rfam family "Bacterial small subunit ribosomal RNA", at positions 335 to 797 of the family's 1533-position model. The record is from RNAcentral.
ACUCCUACGGGAGGCAGCAGUGGGGAAUUUUGGACAAUGGGCGAAAGCCUGAUCCAGCAAUGCCGCGUGCAGGAUGAAGGCCUUCGGGUUGUAAACUGCUUUUGUACGGAACGAAAAAGCUCCUUCUAAUACAGGGGGCCCAUGACGGUACCGUAAGAAUAAGCACCGGCUAACUACGUGCCAGCAGCCGCGGUAAUACGUAGGGUGCGAGCGUUAAUCGGAAUUACUGGGCGUAAAGCGUGCGCAGGCGGUUAUGUAAGACAGAUGUGAAAUCCCCGGGCUCAACCUGGGAACUGCAUUUGUGACUGCAUGGCUAGAGUACGGUAGAGGGGGAUGGAAUUCCGCGUGUAGCAGUGAAAUGCGUAGAUAUGCGGAGGAACACCGAUGGCGAAGGCAAUCCCCUGGACCUGUACUGACGCUCAUGCACGAAAGCGUGGGGAGCAAACAGGAUUAGAUACCCCAGUAGUCCC